RNA transcript from Odobenus rosmarus divergens (Pacific walrus), 1421 nucleotides. It is a transcript of the gene named negative elongation factor E-like, with no coding region annotated. The transcript is spliced from 4 exons. The record is from RefSeq and is a predicted model, not a curated record. Lineage: Eukaryota; Metazoa; Chordata; Mammalia; Carnivora; Odobenidae.
AUGGCAACUUUUCCGUUGUGGCACUUAGCCAGACCCUCAAACAAUGAGAGAUUAGCAGAGGAAACGGCAGCAUAUCCAUGUCCACUAACUCCAAAGGGACUGGUAAGGAAAAUCUUGACAACUCCAGGGCUGAGCUCUUGCCAGUGGGUGCUGGCCGGACCUGGGCCGGGCGUGCGCCUCUUCAGAGGAUGCCAGCUCCCUCUUCUGCUCCUGCCAACCAUGAAACAGCCCAGUUAUGAAACAGAACUGAUUAUCCUGCCAGUGACCUAUAUUAACAGAACAGGGGGCAGGGGAGGUGCCACUGGAGACCUUGGGACUCUGGUUACUGCCCUGUUUGGAGCCACCAGGUCGGUGAUUACCCCUGGACUCAGCCAGGAGGAGGAGGCUCUGCAGAAGAAAUUCAACCAGCUCAAAGAAAAGAAAAAGGCAUUGCUGGCUCUGAAGAAGCAAAGUAGUACAGCAGAGCCAGCCAAGGCAGUGUUCAACGUUCACUGUCAGAGCAGCCUGUGGUAGGCCCAGCCAUGGCAACAGAGCGAGCAAACUAGCUGGUGAAAUCAGGAGCUGUCAGUGUCCUCAAGGCUGAGACCAAGAACUCGGGCUUCAGACGUUCUCAAACCCUGGCGGGGAAGUUAAAGGACCCUGAGAAGGGGCCAGUCCACAAUUUCCAGCUGUCCCAAAGGAGCAUAUCUGCCCCAGAGAAAAUCUCCGUGUGAGAGUUUUGUGUCUUCCAGUGAUGGGCUUCGGGAACUGGGGCCAAGAUGGGGAAGAGGCAGAGGGCCCAGGGACUGGUGAGGGGCCCCCUCAGAACUUUGGUGCUCUAAAAAACCUGGUGGUGCCCACUCCUCAGCCUCCCCUCCCCGAAGCUGCAGCUGGGGCCACAGUUGUGAGCAGAAUGGGGACAAAGACAGGGACCCUGAUCAAGAACCAGAAGGCCCCUUCCACAUGUUGGACUCGUUCCCCCAAAGCAGGGCCCCUCAGAAGGGGAAUACUCUUUAGGUGUGUGGAGAGGACAUGAUGCCCACCGUCUUCUGUGGGGCCUUCUCUUCCUUUGGAAACAUCAUUGACCUCUCCAUGGGCCCACCCAGAAACUGUGCCUCCAUCACCUAUGAAAAGAUGGCGUCAGCAGAUCACGCCAUUACUGAGCUCAAUGGGAUCCAGGUAGAAUCGAUACAGCUCAAAGUCAGCAUUGCCCGCAAACGGCCCAUGCUGGAUGCUGCCACUGGCAAGUCUAUCUGGGGCUCCCUUGCUGUCUUAAACAGCCCUAAGGGUUGCCACCGGGACAAGAGUAUCCAGAUUGUCUCCAGUGAUGAUGUCUACAAGGAAAACCUUGUGGAUGGCUUCUAGGAAAUGGAGCUGGACUCCGUGUAUCUCAUCUGUACCAGCACUGGUCUCAGCAAAACACUGAGUUAGAAGCUCAAAAA